GUCCAGAGAAGAAUUGAACGUUUAUGGCUAUUCCUGGCUGUCCUAUGUGGAACGAUUUUCCACUAGAUUUACCACUAACUCACAGCUCCACCUGCCCUAGAAUCGACAGCUUUAUUAUUUCGUGAUGGCGGCGAGUGCCAAACGAAAACAGGAGGAGAAACACUUGAAGAUGCUUCGGGAGAUGACCAGCCUGCCUCCCAAUAGGAAAUGCUUUGAUUGCGAUCAGCGCGGCCCGACCUACGCCAACAUGACAGUGGGCUCAUUUGUGUGCACCACCUGUUCCGGAAUACUACGAGGCCUCAACCCGCCACACAGAGUGAAGUCUAUCUCCAUGACAACUUUCACCCAACAGGAAAUCGAGUUCUUACAAAAACACAGCAAUGAGGUCUGCAAACACAUCUGGCUGGGGUUGUAUGAUGACAAGACCUCCGUGGUCCCAGAUUUCCGUGAACCUCAGAAAGUCAAAGAGUUUCUUCAGGAGAAAUAUGAAAAGAAAAGAUGGUAUGUUCCCCCAGAACAAGCCAAGGUGAUUGCCUCUGUGCAGGCCUCAAUAUCUGGUUCAUCUGCUAGCAGUACCAGUAGCACCCCAGAGGUUCUUCCCCAGCCCCUCAAAACCCUACAUCUUACCAAGACUCCAUCCAACCAGUCCCCGGUGACCAGUCGUGUUCAGGCCCAGCCUGCAGGCCAGGAGAAGAAGUUUGACCUCCUCUCUGACUUGGGUGGAGAUAUUUUUGCUGCCCCCCAAGCUCAAACUGCCAGCUCCUCAAACUUUGCUAAUUUUGCACAUUUUAACAGGCCCUCAGCACAAAAUAAUGCCACCACAGACUUUGCAAACUUUGAUUACUUUGGAAACGCCAGUGUACCAUCACAUUUUGGCACAUCACCCCCCUCAAAGCCUUCCCUUCAACAAGCCCACACAGGUGGAUGCAUAUCCGUCUCGCCACUACCCAGUAUGGCUCCUGCCCUGCCUCAGAGCAGUUCAUCAACAAAGGACCGUUACGCUGCCCUGGCUGAGCUUGAUAGUGCCCACAGUUCAACCACUACAAGUGGAAGCGUACAAGGUGUGUUUGGAGGUGUCCCAGGAGCUGCUGCACCUCAAUCUCAGCCAGGACUACCCAACAUGCAACAGGGUUUUGCAGCUGCCCCCUCCACAAACCCAUUUGUGGCUGCUGUGAUGGUUCAGGAGCCCAUGUCUACAAAUCCAUUCCAAACCAAUGGAAGAGCAGCAACCUCAGCCUCAUUUGGUACUGGCUCCAUGAGCAUGCCAGCUGGCUUUGGGAACACAACCAGUUACUGCCUGCCAACCAGUUUUAGUGGGACCUUCCAGCAGCAAUUCCCUGGCCAAGGUCCCUUUCCCCCACCUGCAGCCUACCACCAACAGCCCAAUGGGGGGUUUCCAGCCUACGGAGAGGCCAAACCUAUGGGCAACUAUGGGCAGGUGGUCACAGGACCUGGCAUCUCCAGCAACCCAUUCAUGAUAUCGAAUCGUGUUAGACGCUGCACUGCCAUCUCUUGAUCGUCUUGAGUUUUGUGUAAAUGACACUGAUAGUAGGGAGUUUUAGAGUGCAGUCUACACAAUAAUUAAUACUCUCACUUGACGAGCAAAAGAGAAGCAUCUGUGGGCGGAGGCCCAGCGGGACCGUACCCCACAGGAGGUUCCUCCACAAACCCCUUUCUUUAAAACGCUUUUUACGGC
Molecule: RNA transcript, 1696 nt
Organism: Sinocyclocheilus grahami
Lineage: Eukaryota; Metazoa; Chordata; Actinopteri; Cypriniformes; Cyprinidae
Gene name: arf-GAP domain and FG repeat-containing protein 1-like
Exons: 13
Source: RefSeq, a predicted model, not a curated record